This 558-nucleotide ribosomal RNA is filed under the name uncultured bacterium. Its description in RNAcentral is "partial 16S ribosomal RNA". It matches the Rfam family "Bacterial small subunit ribosomal RNA", at positions 355 to 902 of the family's 1533-position model. The record is from RNAcentral.
UGGGGAAUUUUGGACAAUGGGCGAAAGCCUGAUCCAGCAAUGCCGCGUGUGUGAAGAAGGCCUUCGGGUUGUAAAGCACUUUUGUCCGGAAAGAAAUCCUUGGCUCUAAUACAGUCGGGGGAUGACGGUACCGGAAGAAUAAGCACCGGCUAACUACGUGCCAGCAGCCGCGGUAAUACGUAGGGUGCAAGCGUUAAUCGGAAUUACUGGGCGUAAAGCGUGCGCAGGCGGUUUGCUAAGACCGAUGUGAAAUCCCCGGGCUCAACCUGGGAACUGCAUUGGUGACUGGCAGGCUAGAGUAUGGCAGAGGGGGGUAGAAUUCCACGUGUAGCAGUGAAAUGCGUAGAGAUGUGGAGGAAUACCGAUGGCGAAGGCAGCCCCCUGGGCCAAAUACUGACGCUCAUGCACGAAAGCGUGGGGAGCAAACAGGAUUAGAUACCCUGGUAGUCCACGCCCUAAAACGAUGUCAACUAGUUGUUGGGGAUUCAUUUCCUUAGUAACGUAGCUAACGCGUGAAGUUGACCGCCUGGGGGAGUACGGUCGCAAGAUUAAAAACUU